Molecule: ribosomal RNA, 460 nt
Filed under: uncultured bacterium
Lineage: Bacteria
Description: partial 16S ribosomal RNA
Rfam family: Bacterial small subunit ribosomal RNA
Source: RNAcentral
CCUACGGGUGACAGCAGUGAGGAAUAUUGGUCAAUGGGCGCGAGCCUGAACCAGCCAAGUAGCGUGAAGGAUGACUGCCCUACGGGUUGUAAACUUCUUUUAUCAAGGAAUAAAGUGAGGCACGUGUGCCUUUUUGUAUGUACUUUAUGAAUAAGGAUCGGCUAAUUCAGUCCCAGCUGCCGCGGUAAUACGGAGGAUCCGAGCGUUAUCCGGAUUUAUUGGGUUUAACGGGAGCGUAGAUGGGUUGUUAAGUCAGUUGUGAAAGUUUGCGGCUCAACCGUAAAAUUGCAAUUGAUACUGGCAGUCUAGAGUACAGUUGAGGUAGGCGGAAUUCGUGGUGUAGCGGUGAAAUGCUUAGAUAUCACGAAGAACUCCGAUUGCGAAGGCAGCUUACUAAACUGCCACUGACAUUGAUGCUCGAAAGUGUGGGUAUCAAACAGGAUUAGAUACCCGAGUAGUC